AGAGUUUGAUCCGGGUUCAGAUUGAAGGCAGGCGGAAUACUUUCCACUUGCAAGUCGAGAGGCAGGGAGCGGCAACCUGGGGGGGAGGGGGGAGAGGGUGAGUAAUGCAUUGGGACAUGUCCAAGUUGUGGGGGAUAACCCGGGGAAAGCCGGAUUAACACCGCAUAAGCCCGAGAGGGGAAAGCAGGGGACCGCAAGGCCUCACGCAGAUGGGUUGGCCGAUGUCGGAUUAGCUAGUUGGUGGGGUAAAGGCCCACCAAGGCGAUGAUCGGUAGCUGGUCUGGGAGGAUGAUCAGCCACACUGGGACUGAGACACGGCCCAGACUCCUACGGGAGGCAGCAGUGGGGAAUUUUGGACAAUGGGGGCAACCCUGAUCCAGCCAUUGCCGCGUGAGUGAAGAAGGCCUUCGGGUUGUAAAGCAUUUUGUCCGGAAAAAA
RNAcentral lists this ribosomal RNA (438 nucleotides) under uncultured bacterium. RNAcentral describes it as "partial 16S ribosomal RNA". It matches the Rfam family "Bacterial small subunit ribosomal RNA", at positions 8 to 448 of the family's 1533-position model. The record is from RNAcentral.